Molecule: ribosomal RNA, 1261 nt
Filed under: Cellulomonas flavigena
Lineage: Bacteria; Bacillati; Actinomycetota; Actinomycetes; Micrococcales; Cellulomonadaceae
Description: bacterial SSU rRNA
Rfam family: Bacterial small subunit ribosomal RNA
Source: RNAcentral
CCAGCUUGCUGGUCUGAUCAGUGGCGAACGGGUGUAGUAACACGUGAGCAACCUGCCCUUCACUCUGGGAUAAGCCUUGGAAACGAGGUCUAAUACCGGAUAUGAGACGCACCGGCAUCGGUAGCGUCUGGAAAGAUUUAUCGGUGAGGGAUGGGCUCGCGGCCUAUCAGCUUGUUGGUGGGGUGAUGGCCUACCAAGGCGACGACGGGUAGCCGGCCUGAGAGGGCGACCGGCCACACUGGGACUGAGACACGGCCCAGACUCCUACGGGAGGCAGCAGUGGGGAAUAUUGCACAAUGGGCGCAAGCCUGAUGCAGCGACGCCGCGUGAGGGAUGACGGCCUUCGGGUUGUAAACCUCUUUCAGCAGGGAAGAAGCGCAAGUGACGGUACCUGCAGAAGARGCGCCGGCUAACUACGUGCCAGCAGGCCGCGGUAAUACGUAGGGCGCWAGCGUUGUCCGGAAUUAUUGGGCGUAAAGAGCUCCGUAGGCGGUUUGUCGCGUCUGCUGUGAAAUCCUCAGGCUCAAMCUGGGGCKUGCAGUGGGUACGGGCAGACUAGAGUGCGGUAGGGGUGACUGGAAUUCCUGGUGUAGCGGUGGAAUGCGCAGAUAUCAGGAGGAACACCGAUGGCGAAGGCAGGUCACUGGGCCGCAACUGACGCUGAGGAGCGAAAGCAUGGGGAGCGAACAGGAUUAVAUACCCUGGUAGUCCAUGCCGUAAACGUUGGGCACUAGGUGUGGGGCUCAUUCCACGAGUUCCGUGCCGCAGCAAACGCAUUAAGUGCCCCGCCUGGGGAGUACGGCCGCAAGGCUAAAACUCAAAGAAAUUGACGGGGGCCCGCACAAGCGGCGGAGCAUGCGGAUUAAUUCGAUGCAACGCGAAGAACCUUACCAAGGCUUGACAUGCACCGGUAACACUCAGAGAUGGGUGCCCCGCAAGGUCGGUGUACAGGUGGUGCAUGGUUGUCGUCAGCUCGUGUCGUGAGAUGUUGGGUUAAGUCCCGCAACGAGCGCAACCCUCGUCCCAUGUUGCCAGCGGGUUAUGCCGGGGACUCAUGGGAGACUGCCGGGGUCAACUCKGAGGAAGGUGGGGAUGACGUCAAAUCAUCAUGCCCCUUAUGUCUUUGGGCUUCACGCAUGCUACAAUGGCCGGUACAAAGGGCUGCRAUACCGCGAGGUKGAGCGAAUCCCCAAAAAGCCGGUCUCAGUUCGGGAUUGGGGGUCUGCAACUCCGACCCCAUGGAAGUCGGAGUCGCUAGUAA